Molecule: ribosomal RNA, 229 nt
Filed under: uncultured bacterium
Lineage: Bacteria
Description: partial 16S ribosomal RNA
Rfam family: Bacterial small subunit ribosomal RNA
Source: RNAcentral
UGCGUAGGCGGGGCAAUCAGUCAGUGGUGAAAUACUGCCGCUCAACGGUAGAACUGCCAUUGAUACUGCAAGUCUUGAAUAUGGUUGAGGUAGGCGGAAUGUGUCGUGUAGCGGUGAAAUGCAUAGAUAUGACACAGAACGCCAAUUGCGAAGGCAGCUUACUAAGCCAUUAUUGACGCUGAGGCACGAAAGCGUGGGGAGCGAACAGGAUUAGAUACCCUGGUAGUCC